CUUGACUACACCCAGCAGCCUUCCAUCACUGAAUUAGAAAUUCAGGUAGUCCAGUGCCUAAGUGCAGUGAGUUGCUUGCAAGUCACCGUGGCGGUCUCAGGUCGGAGGGACAUUUAUACCCAUAUUCCAUCGGAGCAAAUCUUGAUAGUAGAAAUAGCUCCGGAGUCUGUCACGUUCAGUGCAGAUGUACCCUUACAUCUCACCUGUAUGCCAUACCAGUGUCUCCACACUCAUUGGUUAAGAGGACAACCAACCUAUAUGGCACACAACGAUCUAUGCUUGAUAAACAUUGUCAUCCUUGGUAACAACGUAUCAUUUGGUCACGAACAGAUUUAAGGACUAAACGACAAAUCCUCCUUUGUCGAGUCUAAAUAGUCCUAAGGACUUCACCACAACAUAGGAGUUUAUUAGAAGAUGAAACAUUUUAUGAUGAAAAAUAUCAAAAUAAUUUUUAUUAAUUCAUAAUUCAUGUACAUAUACAAAAAUGAACACAACC
Molecule: long non-coding RNA, 496 nt
Filed under: Elaeis guineensis (African oil palm)
Lineage: Eukaryota; Viridiplantae; Streptophyta; Magnoliopsida; Arecales; Arecaceae
Description: long non-coding RNA (EGUI_LNC069202)
Source: RNAcentral